AAAAAAGUGAAGCACGGAGCUGUUCAUUCAAGUUAAUAACUACCAUUGAAUACAUUGUAAAAUUAUUGACUUGGUUGUGAAACCCUAUCUAUUUGCAUUCUUGUGUGUCAAUUUUGAUUCAGACUGAAUUAAUUACACUUCUGAAGGAAAUAAAGCAAAUAUUUUGGUUCCUCUCAAAGCACACCAAAAGGAAAGAGAUAAGAACGUAAUAUUUUCCAUUUGAGUGAAACUUGAAUUGCGCAUGCGCACUGCACAGGAGCGCGCGCGACGGCGAGAAGUUGGGGAGAAGAGCUUGAUAUCAGAGCUUCGUCCGUUUCGGCAAUUCUAACGUCCUACUUGCAUUUCAUCGAAGAAUAAACCUGCGGUUGGAUGUGGAAAUGCAAAGAAUGCAGUAAGCAUUUUUCAAUAAGAUCUGAGAUACUGAAACACUUGAGACGUGACCAUCGCUUUGACGGUUUUGACUCCAGCUUCCUGAACUUCACUGACCAUCAGGGCAUCUACAUAAACACAUCUUGAGAUCCAACUUAACAGUAUGGCCACUCCCAUCCGACUCCUCAUCUUGUUGAGUGACGAAAGCGCAGAGAGGAUGGAAUUAUCAAGGAUGCCGGACACAGUUGAGGAGCUCAUUGAACAGGUCAAAAACGAAUGCAAACUUUGUGGAGACAUCAGGCUGCAAUACAAGGAUGAUGACUUUGGUGGAAUCUUUGUUAACUUGAGCUCAACCUCUAUGA
This is a long non-coding RNA of Fundulus heteroclitus (mummichog), 731 nucleotides long. RefSeq lists it as uncharacterized. The record is from RefSeq and is a predicted model, not a curated record. The transcript has 3 exons. NCBI's taxonomy places the organism in Eukaryota, Metazoa, Chordata, Actinopteri, Cyprinodontiformes, Fundulidae.